UUGAACGCUGGCGGCAGGCCUAACACAUGCAAGUCGAGCGAACCUAGCUUGCUAGGUGAGCGGCGAACGGGAGAGUAACACGUAGGAAUCUGCCGGAUAGUGGGGGACAACGUCUCGAAAGGGAAGCUAAUACAGCAUACGCCCUAAGGGGGAAAGCAGGGGAUCUUCGGACCUUGCGCUAACGGAUGAGCCGGGGUCGGGUUUGCUAGUUGGCGGGGUAAAGGCCCACCAAGGCGACGAUACGUAGCUGGUCUGAGAAGAUGAUCAGCCACACCGGAACUGAGACACGGUCCGGACUCCUACGGGAGGCAGCAGUGGGGAAUAUUGGACAAUGGGGGCAACCCUGAUCCAGCCAUGCCGCGUGUGUGAAGGAGGCCUUCGGGUUGUAAAGCACUUUAAGCGGGGAGGAAAGUUCGCUGGCUAAUAUCCAGCGGAAUUGACGUUACCCGCAGAAUAAGCACCGGCUAACUCCGUGCCAGCAGCCGCAGUAA
RNAcentral lists this ribosomal RNA (491 nucleotides) under uncultured bacterium. RNAcentral's name for it is "partial 16S ribosomal RNA". It matches the Rfam family "Bacterial small subunit ribosomal RNA", at positions 29 to 523 of the family's 1533-position model. The record is from RNAcentral.